CCAUCACUAGCAGUCUAUGAAGAGUUGAAAGAGACUCUCCCGGAAUAACCUUGCAGUCCUUGCACAAGCCCCUAUCGCUCCUUCGGAUGAGGAUCUAGUCAAUCUGAGUCCUCGCCGCCGAACUCUUGAAGGUGACAAAAUGCUCCUCCCUCUUCCGGAAUGUCGAGUUCGCAAUCAAGAGCUCGGAAGCCCUGGCGAAAUCAAGCAGCGAAGUGCCUCCUCCGUUCCUGGCCCCAAAGCCAAAUCCACCGUGCACCUCAUCAUCGGACUCCCUUAGGUCCCUAUCAACCAAGAUGCCCACCCCAUUCUUACCCCUCUCGAGCCCAGAGUACCACAGCUUAAACCCAUCAGCGUCCCGCGCCUUUGACCCUUUCCACCUAGUCUCCCGGACGCACGCUAUGUUAACCCU
RNAcentral lists this long non-coding RNA (409 nucleotides) under Nicotiana benthamiana. RNAcentral describes it as "long non-coding RNA (NBEN_LNC011724)". Lineage: Eukaryota; Viridiplantae; Streptophyta; Magnoliopsida; Solanales; Solanaceae. The record is from RNAcentral.